UACGUAGGUGGCAAGCGUUGUCCGGAUUUAUUGGGUUUAAAGGGUGCGUAGGCGGCUUUGUAAGUCAGUGGUGAAAUAUGGCAGCUCAACUGUCAGGGUGCCAUUGAUACUGCGGAGCUUGAGUACAGAUGAGGUAGGCGGAAUUGACGGUGUAGCGGUGAAAUGCGUAGAUAUCGUUUGGAACGCCAAUGGUGAAAACAGCUAGCUGGGAGUGUGCCGACGCUGAGACACGAAAGCCAGGGGAGCGAACGGG
Molecule: ribosomal RNA, 253 nt
Filed under: uncultured bacterium
Lineage: Bacteria
Description: partial 16S ribosomal RNA
Rfam family: Bacterial small subunit ribosomal RNA
Source: RNAcentral